This is a ribosomal RNA of Bos mutus (wild yak), 109 nucleotides long. Lineage: Eukaryota; Metazoa; Chordata; Mammalia; Artiodactyla; Bovidae. The record is from Ensembl.
GUCUACGGCCAUUCCACCCUGAAUGUGUCUGAUCUCGGAAGCAAAGCAGCAUCAGGCCUGGUUAGUACUUGGAUGGGUGACCACCUGGGAAUACUGGUUGUGGUAAGCU